AAACCAACAGGGAUUGCCUCAGUAACGGCGAGUGAAGCGGCAAGAGCUCAAAUUUGAAAUCCGGCCCCCCUGGGGGCCUGAGUUGUAAUUUGCAGAGGAUGCUUCGGGCGCGACCGCGGUCCAAGUCCCCUGGAACGGGGCGUCGUAGAGGGUGAGAAUCCCGUCUCCGGCCGGCCGGUCUCGCCCGUGUGAAGCUCCUUCGACGAGUCGAGUUGUUUGGGAAUGCAGCUCCAAAUGGGUGGUAAAUUUCAUCUAAAGCUAAAUACUGGUCGGAGACCGAUAGCGCACAAGUAGAGUGAUCGAAAGAUGAAAAGCACUUUGAAAAGAGAGUUAAACAGCAUGUGAAAUUGUUGAAAGGGAAGCGCUUGCGACCAGAGUCGGCCGCGGGGGUUCAGCGGGCAUUCGUUGCCCGUGCAAUCCCCCGCGGCCGGGCCAGCGUCGGUUUUGACGGCCGGUCAAAGGCCCCCGGAAUGUGUCGCCUCUCGGGGCGUCUUAUAGCCGGGGGUGCAAUGCGGCCAGUCGGGACCGAGGAACGCGCUCCGGCACGGACGCUGGCUUAAUGGUCGUCAGCGAC
RNAcentral lists this ribosomal RNA (574 nucleotides) under Histoplasma capsulatum. Its description in RNAcentral is "eukaryotic LSU rRNA". It matches the Rfam family "Eukaryotic large subunit ribosomal RNA", at positions 62 to 648 of the family's 3401-position model. The record is from RNAcentral. Lineage: Eukaryota; Fungi; Ascomycota; Eurotiomycetes; Onygenales; Ajellomycetaceae.